Molecule: ribosomal RNA, 494 nt
Filed under: uncultured bacterium
Lineage: Bacteria
Description: partial 16S ribosomal RNA
Rfam family: Bacterial small subunit ribosomal RNA
Source: RNAcentral
GACGAACGCUGGCGGCGUGCUUAACACAUGCAAGUCGAACGGUGAAGCGCCUUCCUUUUUGGUGGGUGUGGAUGAGUGGCGAACGGGUGAGUAACACGUGAGUAACCUGCCCCCUUCUUCUGGAUAACCGCAUGAAAGUGUGGCUAAUACGGGAUAUUCUGGUUCUGUCGCAUGAUGGGUCUGGGAAAGAUAUUGUUUCGGUGGGGGAUGGGCUCGCGGCCUAUCAGCUUGUUGGUGGGGUGAUGGCCUACCAAGGCGGUGACGGGUAGCCGGCCUGAGAGGGUGGACGGUCACACUGGGACUGAGACACGGCCCAGACUCCUACGGGAGGCAGCAGUGGGGAAUAUUGCACAAUGGGCGCAAGUCUGAUGCAGCGACGCCGCGUGAGGGAUGGAGGCCUUCGGGUUGUGAACCUCUUUCGCCAGUGAAGCAGGCCUGCCUCGUUUGUGGGUGGGUUGACGGUAGCUGGAUAAGAAGCGCCGGCUAACUACGUG